This 253-nucleotide ribosomal RNA is filed under the name uncultured bacterium. RNAcentral describes it as "partial 16S ribosomal RNA". It matches the Rfam family "Bacterial small subunit ribosomal RNA", at positions 524 to 776 of the family's 1533-position model. The record is from RNAcentral.
GACGGAGGGUGCUAGCGUUGUUCGGAUUUACUGGGCGUAAAGGGCGCGUAGGCGGCCAGAUCAGUCGGGUGUGAAAGCCCGGGGCUCAACCCCGGAACGGCACCCGAGACGGUUUGGCUGGAGACCGGGAGAGGAGGGUGGAAUAGCCAGUGUAGAGGUGAAAUUCGUAGAUAUUGGCUGGAACACCGGUGGCGAAAGCGGCUCUCUGGCCCGGUUCUGACGCUGAGGCGCGAAAGCGUGGGGAGCAAACAGG